UACGUAGGGUGCAAGCGUUGUCCGGAAUUAUUGGGCGUAAAGAGCUCGUAGGCGGUUUGUCGCGACUGCUGUGAAAACCCGAGGCUCAACCUCGGGCCUGCAGUGGGUACGGGCAGACUAGAGUGCGGUAGGGGAGAUUGGAAUUCCUGGUGUAGCGGUGGAAUGCGCAGAUAUCAGGAGGAACACCGAUGGCGAAGGCAGCUCGCUGGGACGGUACUGACGCUGAGGCGCGAAAGCGUGGGGAGCAAACAGG
Molecule: ribosomal RNA, 253 nt
Filed under: uncultured bacterium
Lineage: Bacteria
Description: partial 16S ribosomal RNA
Rfam family: Bacterial small subunit ribosomal RNA
Source: RNAcentral